Non-coding RNA from Gasterosteus aculeatus aculeatus (three-spined stickleback), 422 nucleotides. The record is from RefSeq and is a predicted model, not a curated record. Lineage: Eukaryota; Metazoa; Chordata; Actinopteri; Perciformes; Gasterosteidae.
UUCACCACAACAGGGAGACGUGGAAGAACCAGGCAACCAAAGAAGGAGGAGAAGAUACCGAUUUGAUACCGAGAGGUCGCCCGAGGCCGACGCUACAAAGCCCGUCACAGGCGGGAAAGGGGUUCGUUCGCCACUUUCUUCGUUCCAACUACGAGCGCCAUCAACGGCUCACAGGCCCCGAGAAGCUCUGCAAACUGGACUGCUGGGAAUGCCUGUUAUUUGCCAGUGAUGGAGUUGGUGUUUGGAGCCACACUGGCUUUGCUAACUUGAGUUGUCUAACCAAGGCAGCAACCAGACACCAAAGUACGGCUGGACACUUACAAGCAACGGUGCUUUUCAAAACCUUUAGGGACACCCGAGUGGAUGUACAGCUCAACGAACCAGCGCGCAGGGCAACGGAGCUGCACCAUGAAGAGGUGAAG